GGCAGAUAGGGCUUGGAUCUGGAAUAAGUAAAUCCUUGCUUUGGUGUGAGUCUUCUUGCCUUUGACCUCAUUUAUGUGCUACAAUUUUUUCACUGGCUUCUGGAAUUCUCAGAAAGUCCCUCUGGGAUUACAAGAGUGUUGAAGCAACGUUGUGACACAUCGGAACACCUUGAAAUACAUGGACACUUUCAAAUCAUUAAAGACUCUCAAGUCUUUAGGGGGAAUUAAAGAGAGCGAGGUGAAAAGGAUUUCAUUUAAGAAGAUUGCUGGCUUCCACAAGAGGAUCUACACUUUUCCCAUUCCCAAGCCAAGUCAGGGAGCUUUGAAAACAACUUGAAAAAUUAGGAUUCUCUAUCUCUGUGAAGACUGGCAAACUCCCUUCCUGAAGAUGAAUUAUUUUGUAUCUAUGCAUCUGGACUCUUCUCCUUCCUUCUAGCAGGUAUUAUCUUAUUAUGAUUAACACAUGC
RNAcentral lists this long non-coding RNA (467 nucleotides) under Cercocebus atys (sooty mangabey). RNAcentral describes it as "lncRNA (ENSCATG00000045604.1)". The record is from RNAcentral. Lineage: Eukaryota; Metazoa; Chordata; Mammalia; Primates; Cercopithecidae.